RNAcentral lists this ribosomal RNA (790 nucleotides) under uncultured organism. RNAcentral describes it as "bacterial SSU rRNA". It matches the Rfam family "Bacterial small subunit ribosomal RNA", at positions 24 to 860 of the family's 1533-position model. The record is from RNAcentral.
UCAGGAUGAACGCUGGCGGCUGCUUACACAUGCAAGUCGAACGCAACCUUCGGGUUGAGUGGCGGACGGGUGAGUAACGCGUGAGAAUCUGCCUUGGGGUCGGGGACAACCACUGGAAACGGUGGCUAAUACCGGAUAAGCCUUUGGGUAAAAAAUUUAUUGCCCCAAGAGGAGCUCGCGUCUGAUUAGCUAGUUGGUGAGGUAAAAGCUCACCAAGGCAGCGAUCAGUAGCUGGUCUGAGAGGACGAUCAGCCACACUGGGACUGAGACACGGCCCAGACUCCUACGGGAGGCAGCAGUGGGGAAUUUUCCGCAAUGGGCGAAAGCCUGACGGAGCAAGACCGCGUGAGGGAGGAAGGCUCUUGGGUUGUAAACCUCUUUUCUCAGGGAAGAAGCUCUGACGGUACCUGAGGAAUCAGCCUCGGCUAACUCCGUGCCAGCAGCCGCGGUAAUACGGAGGAGGCAAGCGUUAUCCGGAAUUAUUGGGCGUAAAGCGUCCGCAGGUGGCGAUUCAAGUCUGCUGUCAAAGCACGGGGCUUAACUCCGUUAAGGCAGUGGACACUGAAUAGCUAGAGUGCCGUACGGGUAGAGGGAAUUCCCGGUGUAGCGGUGAAAUGCGUAGAGAUCGGGAAGAACAUCGGUGGCGAAAGCGCUCUACUGGACGGCAACUGACACUCAGGGACGAAAGCUAGGGGAGCGAAUGGGAUUAGAUACCCCAGUAGUCCUAGCUGUAAACGAUGGAUACUAGGUGUAGCUUGUAUCGAACCGAGCUGUGCCGAAGCUAACGCGU